CGGAAGGAUCAUUAUCGAACUCGCUCGAGAAAGCGUGGAGGGGGGGAAGACGAGCGGACGAAGUUUGGUGGGGGUUGUCGCUGGCCUUCGGGCAUGUCGCACGCCUCUGUCUUAGUCUCCGUUCCCUUUCUUCUUUUGCGUGGACUCGUUCUCUCAAACACCUGUGCACCCGUUGUAGGCUUCCUCGCAAGGGGAGACCUAUGUCUUUUCAUAAACUCGUAUGUAUACAGAAUGUCUACGUUUCAACGUCGUCCGGCUCGGGCGAUGGCGAAUCGAAAUCAUAAACAACUUUCAGCAACGGAUCUCUUGGCUCUCGCAUCGAUGAAGAACGCAGCGAAUUGCGAUAAGUAAUGUGAAUUGCAGAUUUUCAGUGAAUCAUCGAAUCUUUGAACGCACCUUGCGCUCCUUGGUAUUCCGAGGAGCAUGCCUGUUUGAGUGUCAUCGAAUUCUCAACCAUGUCUCGAUUGAUUUCGAGCGCAUGGCUUGGAAGUGGGGGCUGCUGGCGGCGCGAGCUGUCGGCUCUCCUGAAAUGCAUUAGCAGAGGUGAGCCUUUCGUGCACGGCCUUCGACGUGAUAAUGAUCGUCGUGGCUGGAGCGAGGGGCAUGAAUCGUCGCUGCUUC
Molecule: ribosomal RNA, 621 nt
Filed under: Pulveroboletus trinitensis
Lineage: Eukaryota; Fungi; Basidiomycota; Agaricomycetes; Boletales; Boletaceae
Description: eukaryotic LSU rRNA
Rfam family: 5.8S ribosomal RNA (bases 287-441)
Source: RNAcentral